Molecule: ribosomal RNA, 433 nt
Filed under: uncultured bacterium
Lineage: Bacteria
Description: partial 16S ribosomal RNA
Rfam family: Bacterial small subunit ribosomal RNA
Source: RNAcentral
AGCGAACGCUGGCGGCAGGCCUAACACAUGCAAGUCGAACGAACUCUUCGGAGUUAGUGGCGGACGGGUGAGUAACACGUGGGAACGUGCCUUUUGGUUCGGAAUAACUCAGGGAAACUUGUGCUAAUACCGAAUGUGCCCUUCGGGGGAAAGAGUUAUCGCCAUUAGAGCGGCCCGCGUCUGAUUAGCUAGUUGGUGAGGUAACGGCUCACCAAGGCGACGAUCAGUAGCUGGUCUGAGAGGAUGACCAGCCACACUGGGACUGAGACACGGCCCAGACUCCUACGGGAGGCAGCAGUGGGGAAUCUUGCGCAAUGGGCGAAAGCCUGACGCAGCCAUGCCGCGUGAAUGAUGAAGGUCUUAGGAUUGUAAAAUUCUUUCACCGGGGACGAUAAUGACGGUACCCGGAGAAGAAGCCCCGGCUAACUUCGUG